Molecule: unclassified non-coding RNA, 262 nt
Filed under: Hevea brasiliensis (rubber tree)
Lineage: Eukaryota; Viridiplantae; Streptophyta; Magnoliopsida; Malpighiales; Euphorbiaceae
Source: RNAcentral
GGCUCUUGGGGCGACAAGGCCUUCAAAGAGGCUCAGAAAUACUGUAAACCUAAGGUAAUUUGGUCCGGCAAAGCUGAAAAAUACACCAAAAUCCCAGCAUUCGAGGAUCUGGAACAAAGCCCUAAUGCCAAAUAUUUGCAUAUUUGUGCGAACGAAACCAUCCAUGGGGUUGAAUUCAAGAAUUAUCCGAAUCCGAAAACCCUGUUGGUGGCUGAUAUGUCCUCCAAUUUCUGCUCGAAACCUGUGGACAUAUCUAAAUUUG